GCCAGCUGCUCAAACUCCUCCCGGCCAAACAUCCCCGGCUGCCCCACACUGAUAACGAUGGAAAAGAAGCAAAGAAAACAGGCGGGAUGACGAGAAUGCAGUCCAGUUUUUUAGCCUUCAAAGUCUCACAUAUGUGUUUCACUAAAUGGACCAGCUCUCUCUGGCUCCACAGCUCCAAGGUGAAACCGUCGAAACCUUCCGUCUGCAAGUCCACAGCUUCAUUAGACAGGACAAACAACACUGCAGCAAGGGACUUAAAGCUCAACACGACUCUUAAUUACCUUUGCAACAUCCACCAGCUCGCUCCCCAGCUCUUCAAUUUCAUCCUCGCUCCCCAGAACACUCAUGUAGUCCUGGUAAGA
This is a non-coding RNA of Plectropomus leopardus (leopard coralgrouper), 362 nucleotides long. The record is from RefSeq and is a predicted model, not a curated record. Lineage: Eukaryota; Metazoa; Chordata; Actinopteri; Perciformes; Serranidae.